Molecule: long non-coding RNA, 263 nt
Organism: Gadus morhua (Atlantic cod)
Lineage: Eukaryota; Metazoa; Chordata; Actinopteri; Gadiformes; Gadidae
Exons: 3
Source: RefSeq, a predicted model, not a curated record
CCUCUAUGUGUAAAGAAAAGAAUGGUCCUUGCUUGUCAGCAUGGCAAAGCUCGACAGAAAAAAGAAAAGGAGAAACGUUCAGCAGAGCAUGUAUACACAAAAAAACGUUUUCAUGUCCAAAAUGGGAAGAAGUUGGACUGCCCAGCUAAACUUUUCAUUCGGCAUGUGCUGAGAUAUGACUCAUUCAGUGUGAGAGGGGAUGCCACAAAAUCCCAUAAAGAAGACACUAUGAGAAAUCUUAAGAUAGCACUUCAAAACUCAGA